CCUACGGGAGGCAGCAGUGAGGAAUAUUGGUCAAUGGACGAGAGUCUGAACCAGCCAAGUAGCGUGAAGGAUGACUGCCCUAUGGGUUGUAAACUUCUUUUAUAUGGGAAUAAAAUGUUCCACGUGUGGGAUUUUGUAUGUACCAUAUGAAUAAGGAUCGGCUAACUCCGUGCCAGCAGCCGCGGUAAUACGGAGGAUCCGAGCGUUAUCCGGAUUUAUUGGGGUUAAAGGGAGCGUAGGUGGAUUGUUAAGUCAGUUGGGAAAGUUUGGGGCUUAACCGUAAAAUUGCAGUUGAAACUGGCAGUCUUGAGUACAGUAGAGGUGGGCGGAAUUCGUGGUGUAGCGGUGAAAUGCUUAGAUAUCACGAAGAACUCCGAUUGCGAAGGCAGCUCACUGGACUACAACUGACACUGAGGCUCGAAAGUGUGGGUAUCAAACAGGAUUAGAUACCCCGGUAGUC
RNAcentral lists this ribosomal RNA (460 nucleotides) under uncultured bacterium. RNAcentral's name for it is "partial 16S ribosomal RNA". It matches the Rfam family "Bacterial small subunit ribosomal RNA", at positions 338 to 795 of the family's 1533-position model. The record is from RNAcentral.